GCCCGUGUGACGUGGAGGAGCUGAGGAGAGAGCUGGACUGUCUGUAGGAGCAGUAUGAGCAGACCGUCCAGCAGAGGACACUCAUCCGACUGGAGUGGGAGGACGUUGGCCUGGAAGUGGAUGUAAAGACGGCAGACUGUCUGGCCCUGAGGGAGCAGGUGGAAAUCUACCAGGAACAACUGGCUCACAUGGAGGCACAGCAUGAAGAGAGAAGGGACAUCUCAGAGAAAGGACUGGCCGGAUGGCCAACAUCAAUUACACAAAACGGUUCAGAACAUGGUGGUCCCUGUAGAAGGUCCAGCUGCAGCAGGGAGAGAAGUCCUGGAGUUUUACAACCCUGACAUCCAGGAUAUCAAGGAGUACUACAGCCAGCUGGCUGA
Molecule: long non-coding RNA, 380 nt
Organism: Salvelinus namaycush (lake trout)
Lineage: Eukaryota; Metazoa; Chordata; Actinopteri; Salmoniformes; Salmonidae
Exons: 3
Source: RefSeq, a predicted model, not a curated record